This 388-nucleotide ribosomal RNA is filed under the name uncultured bacterium. RNAcentral describes it as "bacterial SSU rRNA". It matches the Rfam family "Bacterial small subunit ribosomal RNA", at positions 28 to 417 of the family's 1533-position model. The record is from RNAcentral.
GACGAACGCUGGCGGCGUGCUUAACACAUGCAAGUCGAGCGGUAAGGCCCUUUCGGGGGUACACGAGCGGCGAACGGGUGAGUAACACGUGGGUGACCUGCCCUCAGCUCUGGGAUAAGCCUGGGAAACCGGGUCUAAUACUGGAUAUGACUCCAUGACGCAUGUUGUGGGGUGGAAAGCCUUGUGCGGCUGAGGAUGGGCCCGCGGCCUAUCAGCUUGUUGGUGGGGUGAUGGCCUACCAAGGCGACGACGGGUAGCCGGCCUGAGAGGGCGACCGGCCGCACUGGGACUGAGACACGGCCCAGACUCCUACGGGAGGCAGCAGUGGGGAAUCUUGCGCAAUGGGCGAAAGCCUGACGCAGCGACGCCGCGUGAGGGAUGACGGCCU